This is a long non-coding RNA of Homo sapiens (human), 973 nucleotides long. RefSeq lists it as uncharacterized. NCBI's taxonomy places the organism in Eukaryota, Metazoa, Chordata, Mammalia, Primates, Hominidae. The transcript is spliced from 3 exons. The record is from RefSeq and is a predicted model, not a curated record.
GCCCUGUGGCCGUCUCCACCUGGUUCCAUGUCACAGCCCCUUGAUACAUCUGGGCAACACUUUCUGAUCUGUUUCUACCCGCCAAAACCAAGCCUGAGGCAUUUUCUCAUAAACAAAUGGUGGCUGAGAAAGCUGAGAAGAGAUGAUGACAAUCUUUUGAGGCUGGGGAGAAAAAUGAAGUUCACAACUCAGCAAAGAGGAUGGGCUCUGAUUGGGAGAUGUGCAGAUGAAGGAAUGAAUAUGGAAUACAUCUCUCAAAGAAUGACUGAUACAGCUUCAGGACUGAGGAUUGGAAUGUCCACAGAUGUCAUGUGUCAAGCUGCCCUGAAGGAACAGAAUGAGAAGAAAAAGAAUCUACUACCUCUUGAACCCACCAAGCACAUCCCAUCUCAGGAUCUCUACUCUUGCUGUUCUCUUUGCCUAAAACAUUCUUCCCCCAGAUCUGUGCAUGGCCCCCUCACUCACCUCACUUAGAUAUCUGUUCAAAUACCACUUGAAGACCAUUCUAUCUAAGCACACUUACAUUGUCUUAUAUUUUUAUGGCUCUUUUUGCUCCCUGCCUCUAACUAGUAAAUGUAUUUGUUUAUCUAUCUUUUGCCAUUUCCUCUCAAAUAUAAGCUUCCUGAAGACAGAGAUUUUGUUUCAUUCACUACUGCACCUUUAGUUCUCAGGACACUGCCUGGUACAUAGUAGGUGCUCAUUAAAUAUGUAUUAAAUGCAUGACUUCAGGGAACACAUCUCGAGUGGGCCAUGCACUGUGCAAGGUGCUUUAUGUACUUCAUCUCAUUUCAUAGUCAGAUCAUCUUGGUGAGAAAGCAUUCAUGGUCCCCCACAAUUUGGAGACUCCAUGUGGCUCCAGGGAAUUGGUCUCUGGUUUGACCCAGGGCCCGUGUUUUUCCCACCACAGGGGGCUGCUUCUGAGUACUGACUCCCUGAAGCUUUCUCUCUCCUUCUCCUCCUCUAUUAUACCAUC